AAGUCGAACGAACGGAGGAUGAGCUUGCUCUUCCAAAGUUAGUGGCGGACGGGUGAGUAACACGUGGGCAACCUGCCUGUAAGUUGGGGAUAACUCCGGGAAACCGGGGCUAAUACCGAAUGAUAGAGUGUGGCGCAUGCCACGCUUUUGAAAGAUGGUUUCGGCUAUCGCUUACAGAUGGGCCCGCGGUGCAUUAGCUAGUUGGUAGGGUAAUGGCCUACCAAGGCAACGAUGCAUAGCCGACCUGAGAGGG
RNAcentral lists this ribosomal RNA (253 nucleotides) under Listeria monocytogenes. RNAcentral's name for it is "partial 16S ribosomal RNA". It matches the Rfam family "Bacterial small subunit ribosomal RNA", at positions 59 to 300 of the family's 1533-position model. Lineage: Bacteria; Bacillati; Bacillota; Bacilli; Caryophanales; Listeriaceae. The record is from RNAcentral.